GCCAGGUAUGGGGACAUGGUGCCAUCCACCAUUGCAGGGAAGAUCUUCGGCUCCAUCUGCUCACUCUCAGGGGUGCUGGUAAUUGCGCUGCCUGUCCCCGUCAUCGUCUCCAAC
Regulatory RNA element from Alligator mississippiensis (American alligator), 114 nucleotides. It matches the Rfam family "Potassium channel RNA editing signal". Rfam says of the family: This family represents a group of sequences related to the human potassium channel Kv1.1 hairpin element which directs the efficient modification of an adenosine to inosine by an adenosine deaminase acting on RNA (ADAR). The ADAR modification causes an isoleucine/valine recoding event which lies in the ion-conducting pore of the potassium channel. The record is from Rfam. NCBI's taxonomy places the organism in Eukaryota, Metazoa, Chordata, Crocodylia, Alligatoridae.